RNAcentral lists this ribosomal RNA (468 nucleotides) under uncultured bacterium. RNAcentral describes it as "partial 16S ribosomal RNA". It matches the Rfam family "Bacterial small subunit ribosomal RNA", at positions 28 to 507 of the family's 1533-position model. The record is from RNAcentral.
GACGAACGCUGGCGGCGUGCUUAACACAUGCAAGUCGAACGGAAAGGCCCUGCUUUUGUGGGGUGCUCGAGUGGCGAACGGGUGAGUAACACGUGAGUAACCUGCCCUUGACUUUGGGAUAACUUCAGGAAACUGGGGCUAAUACCGUAUAGGAGCUCCUGCUGCAUGGUGGGGGUUGGAAAGUUUCGGCGGUUGGGGAUGGACGCGCGGCUUAUCAGCUUGUUGGUGGGGUAGUGGCUUACCAAGGCUUUGACGGGUACCCGGCCUGAGAGGGUGACCGGCGACAUUGGGACUGAGAUACGGCCCAGACUGCUACGGGAGGCAGCAGUGGGGAAUCUUGCACAAUGAGCGGAAGCCUGAUGCAGCAACGCCGCGUGCGGGAUGACGGCUUUCGGGUUGUAAACCGCUUUCGCCUGUGACGAAGCGUGAGUGACGGUAAUGGGUAAAGAAGCACCGGCUAACUACGUG